GAUGAACGCUGGCGGCGUGCCUAAUACAUGCAAGUCGAGCGAACAGACGAGGAGCUUGCUCCUCUGACGUUAGCGGCGGACGGGUGAGUAACACGUGGAUAACCUACCUAUAAGACUGGGAUAACUUCGGGAAACCGGAGCUAAUACCGGAUAAUAUAUUGAACCGCAUGGUUCAAUAGUGAAAGACGGUUUUGCUGUCACUUAUAGAUGGAUCCGCGCCGCAUUAGCUAGUUGGUAAGGUAACGGCUUACCAAGGCAACGAUGCGUAGCCGACCUGAGAGGGUGAUCGGCCACACUGGAACUGAGACACGGUCCAGACACCUACGGGAGGCAGCAGCAGGGAAUCUUCCGCAAUGGGCGAAAGCCUGACGGAGCAACGCCGCGUGAGUGAAGAAGGUCUUCGUAUCGUAAAACUCUGUUAAUAGGGAAGAACAAAUGUGUAAGUAACUAUGCACGUCUUGAAGGUACCUAAUCAGAAAGCCACGGCUAACUACGUG
RNAcentral lists this ribosomal RNA (497 nucleotides) under uncultured bacterium. RNAcentral describes it as "partial 16S ribosomal RNA". It matches the Rfam family "Bacterial small subunit ribosomal RNA", at positions 28 to 507 of the family's 1533-position model. The record is from RNAcentral.